GACGAACGCUGGCGGCGUGCUUAACACAUGCAAGUCGAGCGGUAAGGCCCUUUCGGGGGUACACGAGCGGCGAACGGGUGAGUAACACGUGGGUGACCUGCCCUCAGCUCUGGGAUAAGCCUGGGAAACUGGGUCUAAUACCGGAUAUGACUCCAUGACGCAUGUUGUGGGGUGGAAAGCCUUGUGCGGCUGAGGAUGGGCCCGCGGCCUAUCAGCUUGUUGGUGGGGUGANGGCCUACCAAGGCGACGACGGGUAGCCGGCCUGAGAGGGCGACCGGCCACACUGGGA
RNAcentral lists this ribosomal RNA (289 nucleotides) under uncultured bacterium. RNAcentral's name for it is "partial 16S ribosomal RNA". It matches the Rfam family "Bacterial small subunit ribosomal RNA", at positions 28 to 318 of the family's 1533-position model. The record is from RNAcentral.